This 86-nucleotide small nuclear RNA is filed under the name Jaculus jaculus (lesser Egyptian jerboa). RNAcentral's name for it is "U4 spliceosomal RNA (ENSJJAG00000005572.1)". It matches the Rfam family "U4 spliceosomal RNA", at positions 1 to 83 of the family's 138-position model. From Rfam's summary of the family: U4 small nuclear RNA (U4 snRNA) is a component of the major U2-dependent spliceosome. Lineage: Eukaryota; Metazoa; Chordata; Mammalia; Rodentia; Dipodidae. The record is from RNAcentral.
AGCUUUACACAGUGUCAGUAUUGUAGCCAGUGAGGUUCACCUGAGGCACCAUUAUUACUAAUUGAAAAUAAUGUUCAUAAUAACAC